GGAUUCCCCUAGUAACUGCGAGUGAAGCGGGAAAAGCUCAAAUUUAAAAUCUGGUGGUCUUUGGCCAUCCGAGUUGUAAUUUAGAGAAGCAACUUCCGCGCUUGGACCAUGCACAAGUCUCCUGGAAUGGAGCGUCAUAGAGGGUGAGAAUCCCGUCUUUGGCAUGGAUGCACCAGGGCUUUUGUGAUGUGCUCUCGAAGAGUCGAGUUGUUUGGGAAUGCAGCUCAAAAUGGGUGGUGAACUCCAUCUAAAGCUAAAUAUUGGCGAGAGACCGAUAGCGAACAAGUACCGUGAGGGAAAGAUGAAAAGCACUUUGGAAAGAGAGUGAAACAGUACGUGAAAUUGUUGAAAGGGAAACGCUUGAAGUCAGUCGCGUCGGUCGAGACUCAGCCUUGCCUUGGCUUGGCGUACUUCUCGGCCGACGGGUCAGCAUCAAUUUUGCCCCUCGAAUAAUGGCAAGGGAAAUGUGACACCUUUUACAGGUGUGUUAUAGUCUUUUGUCGCAUGCGAGGGUCGGGAUUGAGGAACUCAGCACGCUCCUUUAGGUGUCGGGGCUUGGCCCACGAAACGUGCUUAGGAUGUUGGCGUAAUGGCUUUAAACGACCCGUCUUGAAACACGGACCAAGGAGUCUAACAUGCCCGCGAGUGUUUNGGGUGGAAAACCCAUGCGCGCAAUGNAAAGUGAAAGUUGGGACCUCCGUCGUGGAGGGCACCGACGCCCGGACCAGACCUUCUGUGACGGAUCUGCGGUAGAGCGUGUAUGUUAGGACCCGAAAGAUGGUGAACUAUGCCUGAAUAGGGUGAAGCCAGAGGAAACUCUGGUGGAGGCUCGUAGCGAUUCUGACGUGCAAAUCGAUCGUCAAAUUUGGGUAUAGGGGCGAAAGA
RNAcentral lists this ribosomal RNA (885 nucleotides) under Russula sp. RNAcentral's name for it is "LSU rRNA". It matches the Rfam family "Eukaryotic large subunit ribosomal RNA", at positions 72 to 930 of the family's 3401-position model. Lineage: Eukaryota; Fungi; Basidiomycota; Agaricomycetes; Russulales; Russulaceae. The record is from RNAcentral.